CUACUCGCCUGAGCAGAAAGUGUAAUGCCCUUGGGAGAGCAGACUGGCUUAAUGUACUGUAUCUCUUUUUCCAGUACCUUCUUCUAAAUCAGACUCCUUAAAAAAGAAGACCUUAUUGAAGCUGGAAAAACAGAACAUGUUGGGAGCUUUGGUUUUUAUCAAAGAGACAGCGGAUGCUUCCAUCAGGAUCACUGAGAUCUAAAUCAUUUCUGAGGGAUUGAUACGCGUUUGUCCUUGCUGAUCAUAUUAAAGUAUCUGUGCAGAAAAUAGAAUUUUGAUUUUUCUUG
Molecule: long non-coding RNA, 287 nt
Filed under: Oryctolagus cuniculus (rabbit)
Lineage: Eukaryota; Metazoa; Chordata; Mammalia; Lagomorpha; Leporidae
Description: lncRNA (ENSOCUG00000035105.1)
Source: RNAcentral